RNAcentral lists this ribosomal RNA (301 nucleotides) under uncultured bacterium. RNAcentral describes it as "partial 16S ribosomal RNA". It matches the Rfam family "Bacterial small subunit ribosomal RNA", at positions 509 to 809 of the family's 1533-position model. The record is from RNAcentral.
CAGCCGCCGCGGGAAUACGAGGGGGGCAAGCGUUGUUCGGAUUUAUUGGGCGUAAAGGGUGCGUAGGCGGUUUGGCAAGUCUUGUGUGAAAUCUUCGGGCUCAACCCGAAGCCUGCACGAGAAACUACCGGGCUUGAGUAUUGGAGAGGUGAGUGGAAUUCCCGGUGUAGCGGUGAAAUGCGUAGAUAUCGGAAGGAACACCUGUGGCGAAAGCGGCUCACUGGACAAUAACUGACGCUGAUGCACGAAAGCUAGGGGAGCAAACAGGAUUAGAUACCCGCGUAGUCCCUGUCUCUUAUAA